This is a long non-coding RNA of Tetranychus urticae (two-spotted spider mite), 1679 nucleotides long. RefSeq lists it as uncharacterized. Lineage: Eukaryota; Metazoa; Arthropoda; Arachnida; Trombidiformes; Tetranychidae. The record is from RefSeq and is a predicted model, not a curated record.
UUAAUGGCUAACGGUAACUAAAGAUGACGCCACUUAAUUCAUUGAGAUUGGGUUGUGUGUUUGAUGACAAAAAAAAGCAAAAAUAAUGUUGAGAGUUUUUUGUUUGAAUCUGAGUCAGAUAACAUGAAUGUAGCAUGAAAGUGAAUUGAAUACCAAUCGUUAGUUGUUGCCCAAGUGUCAACCUAAGUCAACACUGUCAAGUCAACUUUUAAUGAUUAUUUUAAUUAUAACAUUUUCCAUGUUAAAAGAUGAAUUGAUUAAUUGUUACAUUUAGCUUUUUUUCCCUCUUUCUUCGUCUUAACGUGAUUUUACACUUGUGCCCCUUAAACGACCAUCUUUGUUUCUUCUUCUCAUCAAUUUUUCGUUAUUUUCAUGUUAAAUUGUUGUAAUUUAAAAUUAACCAUUCGCAUUUUCUAAUUGUUUAAUUAGUUAACAAUCAGUUUACUCGUUUCUCCAACCAAUUUGGCCUUUAAAGUGAAAUAAACUCUACAAUUUUCACAUUUUAUCUACUCUUGAAACAAAAGGACAACCAAAAGGAUUAAUCUUAAAUUUAAUUUUUUUAUUCAAGUGUCUCAUCUCAUCCUUUUUUUGUCAACAUUAAUUGCCAACCAAAGACUUAUUGACUCAAUUCCUACCAUCUUCAGUUAACUCCAAAAAGGAAUCAAGAAUCACCAAAAGCAAACCAAAAGAGGAACCAAAAGAGGAACCCAGCAAAAAAAAGAAGGAGGAAAAGGUUGAAACGUGAAAGAAGAGGAAAGGUUUCGAUAAACAAAAGACGAUCAAAGGAGAGUCAAAAAGCCGUUAAAUUACAGUUUUUACAAUAAAAAUAGGGAAACAAAGUAAAUAAAAAUAUUCAAAGGUGAUUUACUUACCCAAAGCAUCAAUUAAUUGUGGACAAUAACAAUCAUCAACCUUCUGUAGUUGAAUUCCCUCGAUAAAGAUCAUUUCUGUCAUCCAUUAUCACCUCAACUCAUCAUCUUUCAACUCAUUCUCAUUCUUCUCAUCAUCAUUCUCAUCAUCCCAAAGGAUAGUGAGAGUAAGAAUCUUUAUUUAAUCAUUAUCAAGUCCAAUGUAAUAAGUCACCGGAAUAAUAAAUGGGAACAGAAAGAAGGAAAAAAGCACAAAAAAAGCCUCACAACGAAAAAGGAAAAAAAAGCAAAUUCCAAUUCUUACAAUUCUCAACAUUUUCAUUGUUUCUCGAGAAAAAAGAAUAAGAAAAGAGGAGAAAAAAGCGAAAAUAUAAUCGCUUUUGACUUCAAUCAUUUAAUGAGUUAAUAUUGAAUUGUAACGAAAAUUCAUUGGAAUGUUAAACAGUUAUUUACUUUAACUAUUGAUUCGUUUGUCAACUUCACCAGCUUCUUUUAUCCCUCCAAUGGAAACAUUUGAAAUGAGAUUUUUCAAGAUUACUUUAGUCAAAGUUUCAAGCAACUCGGAGUCUUCAAUAUUUGAAACAAGUUAUCUCGCUUUCAUCCAGUAAUCAUAAUUUUUACAAGCAAAAGAAACGUCAAUAUUACAGAGAGAAAUAAUUAUUUCAAGUGAUCAAAUUUUGCUGAACAAAAGAAACGUCGAAAGAAAUAUUCUUCCCUGAGAAACCUUUUUCAUCCUUCCCUGUUAAUCUCAUCAUUUUCAUUGUAACAAUAAUUUUACAGAGGCUUAAUACAAUAUCUAACAUAAUUUAA